This 1050-nucleotide ribosomal RNA is filed under the name Triticum aestivum (bread wheat). Its description in RNAcentral is "partial small subunit ribosomal RNA". The record is from RNAcentral. Lineage: Eukaryota; Viridiplantae; Streptophyta; Magnoliopsida; Poales; Poaceae.
AUGCAGCAGCUGCUUCAGGGACAAACUCAGUUGAUCCAGUUACUUGUUCAGAACCAGAACAACAACAACAACAACAACAACAAUCCACCACCACCCCAAGUUGAUGCCCUUACUCGUUUCUUGAGGUUGAAUCCUCGGAGGUUUUCUAGCACCCCUGAACCUAUUGUGGCUGAUGAUUGGCUUCGCUCAGUUAAUAGGAAUUUGGAGACAGUUGGUUGCACUGAUGCAGAGAGAGUGUGGUUUGCCUCUCAUUUGUUAGAAGGACCAGACGCAUCAUGGUGGGACAAUUACUUGGUCACUUAUCCUAUUGCUACUAUCACUUGGGUGCAGUUUCAGGCAGGUUUUCGCGCCGCACAUGUGUCUGCUCGUGCCAUGAGUCUGAAGAAGAAGGAGUUAUGCAGCUUGCGUCAGGGAGGUCGCACUGUGAGUGCAUAUGUGGAGGAAUUCAAUAAUCUUGCACGCUAUGCCCCUAAUGAUGUUAACACUGAUGCAGCUAGACAGGAGAAGUUUCUUGAAGGUCUGGAUGAUGAGUUGAGUAUUCAGUUGAUAGUGGCAACAUUCAACAACUGUCAGGAGCUUAUUGAUAAGGCUAUUGUACUUGAAGGCAAGUUUCAAGAGGUGGAGAAUCGCAAGAGGAAGGCAAGUGACACAGAUUUCAACUCUGGAGGACAACGGAAGCACCGUAAUUCGUUAGCAUCUUCUAAGUACUAUGAUUCUGGAGUGGACAUUUAUAAUGGUCAUAACCAUGAUGGGCAUAAUCAUCACAACAACAAUGGUCACAACCACAAUGCUCAGAGGAAUGGCAACAACGACCACGACCUUUCGACGCCCAGAAAGAAGGAUCUAAGCCAGUUACUUUGCUACAGAUGCAGGAACCCAGGACACUAUUCAAUAAAUUGUCCUGAGAAGAAACUGAAUUAUGACAAUGGGAACUCUGGAGAGAAGGAGAUUGAUCACUUCAAAAGUGGACAUGUGAAUCACACAAGGGUAGGAAGACCAGAUAAUGCAUCGGUCUUUGAUUGUCCGGAGUGUGAAGUGGAUCAGAAUUAA